RNAcentral lists this ribosomal RNA (369 nucleotides) under uncultured bacterium. Its description in RNAcentral is "bacterial SSU rRNA". It matches the Rfam family "Bacterial small subunit ribosomal RNA", at positions 28 to 399 of the family's 1533-position model. The record is from RNAcentral.
GACGAACGCUGGCGGCGUGCUUAACACAUGCAAGUCGAGCGGAAAGGCCCUUCGGGGUACUCGAGCGGCGAACGGGUGAGUAACACGUGAGUAACCUGCCCUUCACUUUGGGAUAACCCUCGGAAACGGGGGCUAAUACCGGAUAUGACACAUGCUCGCAUGGGUGGUGUGUGGAAAGAUUUUUUGGUGGGGGAUGGGCUCGCGGCCUAUCAGCUUGUUGGGUGGGGUGAUGGCCUACCAAGGCGACGACGGGUAGCCGGCCUGAGAGGGCGACCGGCCACACUGGGACUGAGACACGGCCCAGACUCCUACGGGAGGCAGCAGUGGGGAAUAUUGCACAAUGGGCGGAAGCCUGAUGCAGCGACGCCG